AAGCAACACUCUGUGGCAGAUGAUCAAAACUGUCUGACACAACUUGAGCUUGCUGUAGCAAGAAAGUUUAACCUAUUCCAGUGUUCUCUCCUCCCUGAGACAAGCUGUUAUAUAGACUUAAACAAU
Molecule: small nucleolar RNA, 126 nt
Filed under: Jaculus jaculus (lesser Egyptian jerboa)
Lineage: Eukaryota; Metazoa; Chordata; Mammalia; Rodentia; Dipodidae
Description: Small nucleolar RNA SNORA28 (ENSJJAG00000009182.1)
Rfam family: Small nucleolar RNA SNORA28
About the family: ACA28 is a member of the H/ACA class of snoRNA that guide the sites of modification of uridines to pseudouridines.
Source: Rfam by way of RNAcentral